Molecule: long non-coding RNA, 220 nt
Filed under: Nicotiana benthamiana
Lineage: Eukaryota; Viridiplantae; Streptophyta; Magnoliopsida; Solanales; Solanaceae
Description: long non-coding RNA (NBEN_LNC001207)
Source: RNAcentral
CCAAAAGCGCCUCUUAGCCUCCUCGUCUAAGCCCGAAUACUGAUGACGUUGAGGACGCAACCACCAAUAACCAACUUAAUAGACAUUAACCUAUCAUUCACUCCCCUAACCUCAACCACGGACUCCCUUAGAUCCCUAUCUACCAAGAUACCCACUCUAUUCUUACCACUCACGACCCCAGAAUACCACAGCUUAAACCCGUCUACAUUCCUCGCCUUCG